GAUCCUGGCUCAGAUUGAACGCUGGCGGCAUGCCUUACACAUGCAAGGUCGAACGGCAGCACGGGAGCUUGCUCCUGGUGGCGAGUGGCGAACGGGUGAGUAAUACAUCGGAACGUACCCUGAAGUGGGGGAUAACGUAGCGAAAGUUACGCUAAUACCGCAUAUUCUGUGAGCAGGAAAGAGGGGGGAUCGCAAGACCUCUUGCUUUAGGAGCGGCCGAUGUCGGAUUAGCUAGUUGGUGAGGUAAAGGCUCACCAAGGCGACGAUCCGUAGCGGGUCUGAGAGGAUGAUCCGCCACACCUGGGACUGAGACACGGCCCAGACUCCGUACGGGAGGCAGCAGUGGGAAUUUGGACAAUGGGCGCAAGCCUGAUCCAGCCAUGCCGCGUGAGUGAAGAACGGCCUUCGGGUUGUAAAGCUCUUUCGGUGGGGAAGAAAUUGCACAGGAUAAUACCUUGUGUAGAUGACGGUACCCGCAUAAGAAGCACCGGCUAACUACGUG
Molecule: ribosomal RNA, 502 nt
Filed under: uncultured bacterium
Lineage: Bacteria
Description: bacterial SSU rRNA
Rfam family: Bacterial small subunit ribosomal RNA
Source: RNAcentral